GUUCCAUGAUGAUGCCCCCAUGCGUGUCAUCUGACCCCCCCAUUCCCGCCCUCCGGCCCGCGUUCUGCUGGGCAGGGGGGAGAGGAAUGCCCUCCCCCCCCCUGGGGGGGAGAGAGCCAAGGGGAAAGUGAUCAUACCUGGAUAAC
RNAcentral lists this small nucleolar RNA (146 nucleotides) under Ophiophagus hannah (king cobra). RNAcentral describes it as "Small nucleolar RNA SNORD10". It matches the Rfam family "Small nucleolar RNA SNORD10". The record is from Rfam by way of RNAcentral. Lineage: Eukaryota; Metazoa; Chordata; Lepidosauria; Squamata; Elapidae.